This 406-nucleotide ribosomal RNA is filed under the name uncultured bacterium. RNAcentral describes it as "bacterial SSU rRNA". It matches the Rfam family "Bacterial small subunit ribosomal RNA", at positions 8 to 418 of the family's 1533-position model. The record is from RNAcentral.
AGAGUUUGAUCCUGGCUCAGAUUGAACGCUGGCGGCAUGCCUUACACAUGCAAGUCGAACGGUAACAGGUCUUCGGAUGCUGACGAGUGGCGAACGGGUGAGUAAUACAUCGGAACGUGCCCGAUCGUGGGGGAUAACGAAGCGAAAGCUUUGCUAAUACCGCAUAAGAUCUACGGAUGAAAGCAGGGGACCGCAAGGCCUUGCGCGAACGGAGCGGCCGAUGGCAGAUUAGGUAGUUGGUGGGAUAAAAGCUUACCAAGCCGACGAUCCGUAGCUGGUCUGAGAGGACGACCAGCCACACUGGGACUGAGACACGGCCCAGACUCCUACGGGAGGCAGCAGUGGGGAAUUUUGGACAAUGGGCGAAAGCCUGAUCCAGCCAUGCCGCGUGCAGGAUGAAGGCCUU